GACGAACCGUGCGACCGUUGUUCGGAAUCACUGGGCUUAAAGGGCGCGUAGGCGGGUUCGCAAGUCAGGGGUGAAAUCUUUCAGCUUAACUGGAAAACAGCCCCUGAUACUGCGAGUCUCGAGGGAGGUAGGGGCAUGUGGAACUUCCGGUGGAGCGGUGAAAUGCGUAGAUAUCGGAAGGAACGCCGGUGGCGAAAGCGACGUGCUGGACCUCUUCUGACGCUGAGGCGCGAAAGCUAGGGGAGCAAACGGG
This 253-nucleotide ribosomal RNA is filed under the name uncultured bacterium. RNAcentral describes it as "partial 16S ribosomal RNA". It matches the Rfam family "Bacterial small subunit ribosomal RNA", at positions 524 to 776 of the family's 1533-position model. The record is from RNAcentral.